RNAcentral lists this transfer RNA (74 nucleotides) under Actinomycetota bacterium. RNAcentral describes it as "tRNA-Pro". It matches the Rfam family "tRNA". From Rfam's summary of the family: Transfer RNA (tRNA) molecules are approximately 80 nucleotides in length. Their secondary structure includes four short double-helical elements and three loops (D, anti-codon, and T loops). Further hydrogen bonds mediate the characteristic L-shaped molecular structure. tRNAs have two regions of fundamental functional importance: the anti-codon, which is responsible for specific mRNA codon recognition, and the 3' end, to which the tRNAs corresponding amino acid is attached (by aminoacyl-tRNA synthetases). tRNAs cope with the degeneracy of the genetic code in two manners: having more than one tRNA (with a specific anti-codon) for a particular amino acid; and 'wobble' base-pairing, i.e. permitting non-standard base-pairing at the 3rd anti-codon position. Lineage: Bacteria; Bacillati; Actinomycetota. The record is from RNAcentral.
CGGAAUGUGGAGCAGCUUGGUAGCUCGCUUCGUUCGGGACGAAGAGGCCGCAGGUUCGAGUCCUGCCAUUCCGA